CUCUCUGACAGUGGUGCUUCUAAAACGGCUGCUACCCUCCACGCUGUGUCGAUCUUGCUGAAGCUUGGUCGCUCUUGGAAAUGGUUCAUUGAGCUUAGUGCCUUGGAUUAUCCCCUCAUUACUCAAGACGUCUUGAUGAAAUGGGCUGGCUAAGAUCCCAGAUAUUGAGAAGUGCUUAGAGGUUGUUGCCACUUUGGAAGCAAGGACGAUACUGUGUCUUGGUGAACAAAGAGCCCAAAGAAGGUUGAAGAGAAGAAAAUAGCCGCAUGGGGAAGUGAUGUUCCUAAUGAUUUGGAACUGAACGAGGAGGCACUUGCUAAUGCUCUGAGAAUAAAAGUCUCUUUUACCAUUUUAAGUUUUUAACUUCAAAAAACUUAUUUCGUUUUGUGUGAUGAUGUUGUCUCCCUUUACUCGCAACACCUUCUCUUGUAGUAUUAAUAAACUGAAAUCUUUGUCAUUUAAACUUUAUGAAAUUUGCUUAUUG
Long non-coding RNA from Brassica oleracea var. oleracea, 484 nucleotides. RefSeq lists it as uncharacterized. The record is from RefSeq and is a predicted model, not a curated record. The transcript has 3 exons. Lineage: Eukaryota; Viridiplantae; Streptophyta; Magnoliopsida; Brassicales; Brassicaceae.